UACAGAGGGUGCGAGCGUUGUCCGGAAUCAUUGGGCGUAAAGCGCGUGUAGGCGGUCCGGUAAGUCCGCUGUGAAAGUCGGGGGCUCAACCCUCGAAUGCCGGUGGAUACUGUCGGGCUAGAGUGCGGAAGAGGCGAGUGGAAUUCCUGGUGUAGCGGUGAAAUGCGCAGAUAUCAGGAGGAACACCUAUUGCGAAGGCAGCUCGCUGGGACGUAACUGACGCUGAGACGCGAAAGCGUGGGGAGCAAACAGG
Molecule: ribosomal RNA, 253 nt
Filed under: uncultured bacterium
Lineage: Bacteria
Description: partial 16S ribosomal RNA
Rfam family: Bacterial small subunit ribosomal RNA
Source: RNAcentral